GACAGAAUCCCCAAGCGUUAUCCGGAUUUACUGGGCGUAAAGCGUCCGUAGGCGGUCUAGUAAGUCCGGUGUUAAAUCUCUCGGGCUCAACCUGAGAGCUGCAUCGGAAACUACUAGACUAGAGGGCGUCAGAGGCUGGCGGAACGCACGGUGUAGGGGUGAAAUCCGUAGAUAUCAGCAGGAACGCCGGUGGAGAAGUCGGUCUCCUGGGCCGUUCCUGACGCUGAGGCCCGAAAGCUAGGGGAGCAAACCGG
RNAcentral lists this ribosomal RNA (254 nucleotides) under uncultured microorganism. Its description in RNAcentral is "partial 16S ribosomal RNA". It matches the Rfam family "Bacterial small subunit ribosomal RNA", at positions 524 to 776 of the family's 1533-position model. The record is from RNAcentral.